GGGAGCGCAGGGUCCUGGGCUGUGUCCCCUACGCCCUGGGCUCCCGGGCCUGCGCUGUUGGGAUCCCGCUCCCGGGCCGGGGCUCCC
Molecule: microRNA precursor, 87 nt
Filed under: Canis lupus familiaris (dog)
Lineage: Eukaryota; Metazoa; Chordata; Mammalia; Carnivora; Canidae
Also listed under: 1 other name
Description: mir-8799 microRNA precursor family
Rfam family: mir-8799 microRNA precursor family
Source: Rfam by way of RNAcentral